Aedes albopictus (Asian tiger mosquito) is the source of this 2123-nucleotide long non-coding RNA. RefSeq lists it as uncharacterized. NCBI's taxonomy places the organism in Eukaryota, Metazoa, Arthropoda, Insecta, Diptera, Culicidae. The transcript has 3 exons. The record is from RefSeq and is a predicted model, not a curated record.
UGUAUGGAAGCUCAAAAAUCUGUAUAAUACAGAUAAAUCUGUAUAUAUGGCAUGGCAUCCCUGCUCCUGCCAAAUGCAUUAGGUGAGAUUAGGGUUGCCACAUAUGUGAUCACAGUAGUCCAAACAUCAAUGAAAACCCCAAUAAUAUCAUCAUUAUCUUUUGGUUGGUAAGGGUAAUGUUGCCGCAACUACUGUGUAGUGCGACAGUUGGUCAAAUGUGUGAAACAUCCGACUCAUCAUUGCGCACCGAUACAUUUAAGUAAUUUCGAUUGUGGCGGACAUUUGGAGGCUUAUCGUAUGUAUGUGAUAUACAAUUCCAUUCGUAAUCAUUGCCAUACUUCAGUAUAAAGUAUAAAGUCAAUUGCGAUCACGUAGUAAGUGACAAGCAAUAAUAGUUCAGUUAUAUUUUUUUAUUUUGUUUCAGUGGUUUAUUUGAUUAGUUUGCCACUGAGCAGUGCACAGUUUGUACACAGUUAUUCGUUUGUUUUAGAGGAAUUUCAUACCGUAGAAGAAAACAGAAAUCUUUGAAGCUGUCCAGUUCGACUACUCCAAAACUGUUUCAAUCCUACAAGUUACGCCAACAGCUAAUGAAACAAGCUUUCCAACAAAGAGGUGGUUUUAUGAAAUAGUUGAAAAAUUGUAACAAAUGCGAUAAAAGAAGAAAACGAAGUUGAAAAAGGUCCCAUUAUCAGCAAACAACGCCUGGCUGAGCAUUACGGCCGAGGACGUGGCAUUAGGCCAGUUAGCGUGCUCUCGUCGGUAUCUCCAAAGGAGCGACGCUCGAAAUUACCUCCAUGAUUACAGUCGCAGGUCCGUUUUGCCUCGGAUUGCUUUAAAUCCGGUAAAUUUAGCAUUACAUUUCGCCGGUGGCGGUACCGGUACACACCGGAACAACGGUAUCCCUGUCAUACAUUAAUUCGGUACCACCAGUCAGUGCGCCAUGUUAGUCCAGCGAACGAACGGGGAUUAGCACAAGUGGGAGGAAACAAGUUUUCCACGAAAUGUCUCCCUCAGUACCAGCAGCAGUACCUAGUGUUCCGGCCAGGACGACGACGUGUUCAUACCUAACCUGGACGGUCGACGACCAACUACAACCGUGGUGGUAUCACGACGACGAUGGCUGCUUGCAAAAGUCAGGAUGCUCGUUGACGUGGAUAAUUACGAAAUUGUCUCCGGUAUGGUAAGAUUCUAUCCUGGAGUCCGCUCCAGCCCGGUCGGGAGUCAGCUUGUCGGAUUUAGUGGGGUUGUAUGAACGUGUGUAUUGCGGUAUUCCGAAAGCGAAACUUACAGUUAUUUGAAAAACCAGAUUAAUCCACCUAGUGGUGAUAGUGCCUUUCUCGUCGAAUAUGUACUCAUGGUCUUUCCAUCGACGUUAGCCAAAAUGUUCCUGAAUCCUGAGAACACUUUAUAUAGAAAAGCAACAAUUUUAACAAACCCAUCAUCGAUUUGGGAAACUUAUUGAUGGUACAUAUUCCGAAGUUUUGUUCAACAACGAAACAUAGCUAAACAAUAUCAGACCUCUCAGAUGACUGUUUGACCACCUUAAUCCUAGUCAUACAUUGAGGUCAUAAGGACCCCAUUCCAUGCACUACGGCAGCGGGGUGAGCGUCAGCUUAUGCAUGAAGAAGGUUAACCUUAUUCAUAUGAUUGCAUGAUUUUGGUUUACUUCUACUUGAUAACUUCAUCACUUCUAUUUAAUCGUUCAUCAGAUGAUCAAAAACGCUGCAGUCGUUUACCACUUCCGGCGGGUUGCUCUUCUAUAUAUUACCACUCCCGGCGAGUUACACGUCUCGUCACCAGUUCUGGAACACUACCGGUUCUCCAAAAUAUGAACUGAGUUUAUUUGCUGGCUAACCGUUUAUCAUGUUACUGAAUAAGUCAUUGAUAUGUUACAUGUAUUGGUUCUCUUUUAUGUUUGACCAUUUCUGGCGGUAACACACUGAUAUGGCUUGCGUCUAUUUUCUUGCAACUGUUCAUCAUGUUACCUAAAAAGUCGGGGUUUGAGGUAUCACAUGCAAAAGUUUUGUUCACUUUUAUAUACGACCACUUCCGGUGGUGGGACACCUGGAACCGAUUCCGGAACUAUACCAGUUCAGAUAUGGUCGGAGUAUUUUUUAUGCAAA